GAGAACGGGGGGCCGGGUGCCGGGCUAAUACGGAGGGGGGUAGGGUUGUUGGGAAUGACUGGGCGGAAAGCGCACGUAGGCGGACAUUGAAGGCUGGGGUGAAAGCCUUGGGCUCAACCCAAGAAUUGCCUUCGAUACUGGAUGUCUUGAGGCCGGGAGAGGUGAGUGGAAUUCCGAGUGUAGAGGUGAAAUUCGUAGAUAUUCGGAAGAACACCAGUGGCGAAGGCGGCUCACUGGCCCGGUUCUGACGCUGAGGUGCGAAAGCGUGGGGAGCAAACAGGAUUAGAUACCCGUGUAGUC
RNAcentral lists this ribosomal RNA (300 nucleotides) under uncultured Bacillus sp. Its description in RNAcentral is "partial 16S ribosomal RNA". The stretch from base 52 to 300 matches the Rfam family "Bacterial small subunit ribosomal RNA", at positions 547 to 795 of the family's 1533-position model. The record is from RNAcentral. Lineage: Bacteria; Bacillati; Bacillota; Bacilli; Caryophanales; Bacillaceae.